Capsicum annuum is the source of this 1547-nucleotide long non-coding RNA. RefSeq lists it as uncharacterized. The record is from RefSeq and is a predicted model, not a curated record. NCBI's taxonomy places the organism in Eukaryota, Viridiplantae, Streptophyta, Magnoliopsida, Solanales, Solanaceae. The transcript is spliced from 5 exons.
GUGUAAAUGUAAUUUUACUCCAUGAUACUUCAGUUGCACUAGAACUAUAGAGAACUAUCCAGAUCCAUUCUAUUUACAGAAUAGAGUAAUCAACAUAAAUGUCUCAUAAUUCUCUCUUUAUAUUCUUUCUGCAAAUCCUCUUCUUUGAUUUUUCUCCUCUCUUUUAUGUUCAGAAUUCAUCUAUCUUUCUACUUUUCUAGCCUUCUCCCAACCAUUUUGUCUUCUCAGUUCUCCCAAAAAUCUCUCUUUUAAUUUCUAAUUUCCAAUUUCUGGUGAGCUCUUCAUUGAUUUCUUGGUUUUCUCUCAAUUUUUAUUAAUUUUAUUUUGAAUUCAAUAAGCUAUGUGCACUAGAGUGACAAACUGACGAUAAGGAUCAAGUACGAGGAAUAAUUCUUAAUUCUAUACUCCAUUGAAAAGAAUAUGAGGUUCCUAGCUAACUUCAUCAUGGAGGCUAGAAUAUAUUAUUAUCAAGAAAAGCAAGAUUCAUAAUCAAAUACAAUAGCAUACCCAGUGAAAGCAGGGGGAGCUGAAAUCAUAUAGCCCAUGGGUGGAUUUAAGAUGACAGAGCUAUACAAUACCAGGUUAAAGGUUUUAAAUGCAUGCUAAACCAGAUUCUCUUUCCCGACAUGGUAUACAUUUAUUUUUAUGGAUGUGGUUGCAUAUGGUUAUUUACUUUGGUUUUGAAUAAUGAAAUUAUUUUAUCCUUACUCCUGAGUACAUGCUACCGUUCACCUACAAAUCCGUCUUCGUGCCCUGUAUCCCAUAUGAUGCAAGAAUCGACGAUACAACUCCUCUUGCUCAGUGACUACUUUGAGAACAAUUUUAAGUUGGAGAAAAGUGCUUUAGGUUCAAGAAGAGGCUAGGGUUUUCUUCAAAGCAAUCAAUUAAGGCUCUUAAAGAUGGUUUCUCUUGGUCUUCCUUGUUUUCUAAGGAAUCGGCCAUACUCCUCUUCCUGCUCAGUGACUUGGUCUUCAAGAACAGUUUUGAGUUGGACUAAAGUGGUGAGCUUCCACACUCCGAAAGACUCCAUUUCAUACUAUAGUCUUCUUUUCAUAUUUUAGUUUAUUUUUUGGACUUUGGUUUUGGCUAUGGUCGGGGGCAUAUCCCGAUCGGAUGUUCUUGGAUUUCAGUUAGAAGCUUUGUGUGACUACUAUAGGCAUGGACGAUUUCCGUAUUGGUGUCAACCUUGGCAUUGGUAUUAGGACUGAUAAAAUUGGGAUGCUUGGUUGGAUGUUUGGAUAGUUGUGGUUUUGAGCUUUAUUAAAUGUCUUUCAAUUAUAAUUGUUCUCUUUUGUUAUAUAUUUGAAAUUCAUCCAAUAUAGGGUACAGGGUAGUUAUGGUUGGGUUUUGGGGACGGUCUCCAGUCCGAGCCGGACUUGAGAUGCCCAACACGACUAGGCCCUAGUUCGGAUUGUGUCGACUUAUUUCUUAUAUAGAUGCAUACAAAAUCUGUACUUUUAGUGGAAUAGUAUGAUAGAAAAUAUACCUCCUUAUUCUGAUUGUCUAAACUUUAUGAGAGAGUAAUUGUAACAAACAAUGUUGUAAUC